Molecule: non-coding RNA, 24 nt
Filed under: Arabidopsis thaliana (thale cress)
Lineage: Eukaryota; Viridiplantae; Streptophyta; Magnoliopsida; Brassicales; Brassicaceae
Source: RNAcentral
CGGUCGCUGAGCAACAUAAGGAGA